UACGAAGGGGGCUAGCGUUGCUCGGAAUCACUGGGCGUAAAGCGCACGUAGGCGGACUCUUAAGUCGGUGGUGAAAUCCUGGAGCUCAACUCCAGAACUGCCUUCGAUACUGGGAGUCUCGAGUCCGGGGGAGGUGAGUGGAACUGCGAGUGUAGAGGUGAAAUUCGUAGAUAUUCGCAAGAACACCAGUGGCGAAGGCGGCUCACUGGCCCGGUACUGACGCUGAGGUGCGAAAGCGUGGGGAGCAAACAGG
RNAcentral lists this ribosomal RNA (253 nucleotides) under uncultured bacterium. Its description in RNAcentral is "partial 16S ribosomal RNA". It matches the Rfam family "Bacterial small subunit ribosomal RNA", at positions 524 to 776 of the family's 1533-position model. The record is from RNAcentral.